RNAcentral lists this non-coding RNA (90 nucleotides) under Paenibacillus sp. Its description in RNAcentral is "c-di-GMP sequence". It matches the Rfam family "c-di-GMP-I riboswitch aptamer". Rfam says of the family: GEMM was predicted in a large-scale screen for bacterial structured RNA regulatory elements. Genes associated with GEMM are involved in a diverse array of functions, including chemotaxis regulation, signal transduction, secretion and chitin. Lineage: Bacteria; Bacillati; Bacillota; Bacilli; Caryophanales; Paenibacillaceae. RNAcentral also lists the same sequence under 1 other name. The record is from RNAcentral.
CAUGUAUAAUCGCAAACCGUUCGAAAGAGCGGGACGCAAAGUCAGGAAUCUACAGCACUCUAAAGGUGCCAUGAUCGUCCGGCCGCCAUG